This 217-nucleotide long non-coding RNA is filed under the name Carica papaya (papaya). RNAcentral's name for it is "long non-coding RNA (CPAP_LNC015733)". Lineage: Eukaryota; Viridiplantae; Streptophyta; Magnoliopsida; Brassicales; Caricaceae. The record is from RNAcentral.
UAUACCCACUAAUUUUUCUUAUUUAAAAAGAAAAAUCAAUGUGAUUAAUAUGUCUAUAAUUGGGUCUACUUAAGGCCAUUAAUAAGCCCUAAUCUUAUUUUUAAUUGGUUAAUUAAUUGGAGCCCAAAGGGCCAAGAAUGCUUAAAAAUAUUUUAAGCCCAAAAAUUUCAACAAAGUCAAAUGUCGUUUUCUGAGUUGUACGGAACAAUAGAAUUAU